Molecule: ribosomal RNA, 1394 nt
Filed under: uncultured bacterium
Lineage: Bacteria
Description: partial 16S ribosomal RNA
Rfam family: Bacterial small subunit ribosomal RNA
Source: RNAcentral
AGAGUUUGAUCCUGGCUCAGGAUGAACGCUGGCGACGUGCUUAACACAUGCAAGUCGAACGAAGCACUUUACUCGAUUUCUUCGAAUUGAGAUUUUAGUGACUGAGUGGCAGAGGGGAGAGUAACGCGUGGGUCCCCUGCCGCACACGGGGGAAUAACAUUUGGAAACGGUUGCUAAUACCGCAUAACCCCACAGAACCCCUUGGCACGUGGGGAAAAACUCCGGGGGAGUGAAAUGGACCCCCGUCUAAUUACCUAGUGGGCAGGGCACCGGCCUACCAAGGCAACAAUCAGAACCCGACCUAAAAGGGUGACCGGCCCCUUUGAAACUGAAACACGGCCCAAACUCCUACGGAAGGCACCAGGGGGAAAUAUGGCACAAGGGGGAAAACCCUGAUGCACCGACCCCCCGGGAUCAAAAAAUUUUUUCGGUAUGUAAAGCUCUAUCACCAGGAAGAAGAAAUGACGGUACCUGACUAAGAAGCUCCGGCUAAAUACGUGCCAGCAGCCGCGGUAAUACGUAUGGAGCAAGCGUUAUCCGGAUUUACUGGGUGUAAAGGGAGCGCAGGCGGCAGGGUAAGUCUGAUGUGAAAGCCCGGGGCUCAACCCCGGUACUGCAUUGGAAACUGGUCAUCUAGAGUGUCGGAGGGGCAAGUGGAAUUCCUAGUGUAGCGGUGAAAUGCGUAGAUAUUAGGAGGAACACCAGUGGCGAAGGCGGCUUACUGGACGAUAACUGACGCUGAGGCUCGAAAGCGUGGGGAGCAAACAGAGAUUAGAUACCCUGGUAGUCCACGCAGUGACGAAUGAAUACUGUGUGUGGGGAAGCAUGUCUCUUCGCGUGCCGCCGCAACACGCAUUAAUGUACUCCGCGUGGGGAGUUCGCUCGCAAGGUUGUACACUCAAAGGAAUUGACGGGGGCCCGCACAAGUCGAUCGAUUAUGUGGUUUAAUUGCAAGCAACGAGACGAUCCCUGCCAGGGCCAUCCAUCUUACCAAUGAAGUAGAGAUACAUCCGGUGCCCUUAGGGGAAACUAGAGACACAUGGUGCUUGUUAGUUGUCAUCUUGUGUCGUGAGAUGUAGUGUUAAGUCGCGCACCGCGCGCAUCCCCUGUUGUCAGCUGGUAAGCAAGAGCACUCUAGAGAGACUGCCGUGGACAAAACGGAGGAAGGUGGGGACGACGCCAAAUCAUCAUGCCCCUUAUGUUCUGGGCGACACACGUAAUACAAUGGCGGUCACCAGAGGGAGGCAACACCGUAAGGGGGACCGACCCCAUAAAAGCCGUCCCAGUUCAGAUCGUGGUCUGCAACCCGCCCACGUGAAGUCGGAAUCGCUAGUAAUCGCGGAUCAGCAUGCCGCGGUGAAUACGUUCCCGGGCCUUGUACACACCGCCCGUCA